Molecule: small RNA, 1153 nt
Filed under: Pan troglodytes (chimpanzee)
Lineage: Eukaryota; Metazoa; Chordata; Mammalia; Primates; Hominidae
Description: processed transcript
Source: RNAcentral
GCAGACCAUUUGACCAGAACGUGUGCAACUCAGCCAGCCACAGAACUGGAAUUUUUCAGGAGCAGGGGGAGCAUGGAGUUUGGACUUUGCUGAGCAACUGAAGUGGAGCGCAGAGCUUGCUCGCUUAGGAGAGAGCAUCAUGGAUGGCAAACAAGGGGGCAUGGAUGGGAGCAAGCCCGCGGGGCCAAGGGACUUUCCUGGCAUCAGGCUUCUUUCAAACCCAUUGAUGGGCGAUGCUGUGUCUGAUUGGUCUCCUAUGCAUGAAGCUGCAAUCCAUGGACAUCAGCUGUCUCUGAGGAACCUCAUCAGCCAGGGGUGGGCUGUGAACAUCAUCACGGCAGAUCAUGUUUCCCCACUCCAUGAAGCCUGUCUUGGAGGUCAUCUCUCUUGUGUGAAGAUUUUAUUAAAGCAUGGAGCUCAGCACGGAGCCAGCGUUCAACCUGAGAGUGAUCUGGCAUCCCCCAUCCAUGAAGCUGCUAGGAGAGGCCACGUGGAGUGUGUCAACUCUCUUAUAGCUUAUGGGGGCAACAUUGACCAUAAGAUCAGCCACCUGGGCACUCCACUCUAUUUGGCUUGUGAAAACCAACAGAGAGCCUGUGUCAAGAAGCUUCUGGAGUCAGGAGCGGACGUGAACCAAGGGAAAGGUCAGGAUUCCCCACUUCAUGCAGUGGCCAGGACAGCCAGUGAAGAGCUGGCCUGGCUGCUCAUGGAUUUUGGAGCAGACACCCAGGCCAAGAAUGCUGAAGGCAAACGUCCUGUGGAGCUGGUGCCUCCAGAGAGCCCCUUGGCCCAGCUCUUCUUGGAGAGAGAAGGGCCCCCUUCUUUGAUGCAGUUAUGCCGCCUUAGAAUUCGGAAGUGUUUUGGAAUCCAGCAGCAUCAUAAGAUAACCAAACUCGUCCUCCCAGAGGAUCUGAAACAGUUUCUCCUACAUCUUUAAAUGCAUCUAGGGAAUGGAUUCACAAACGAUGUGAAAACAUUAUUGAGUGUUGUAGCCACUAGAAUUUUAAAAUCAAGUUGGAUUUAUAGAGUUUGACUAGUUUUUUCGAUUAGAUUUGUAUUUGUUAUAAACUUGUUUAUGGAGUUUGACUAAUUUUUUCUAUUCAAUUUGUAUUUGUUAAACUCAAGCCAGGGUUGAAAGACACUGCAUACGUUU